Lotus japonicus is the source of this 2842-nucleotide long non-coding RNA. RefSeq lists it as uncharacterized. The record is from RefSeq and is a predicted model, not a curated record. NCBI's taxonomy places the organism in Eukaryota, Viridiplantae, Streptophyta, Magnoliopsida, Fabales, Fabaceae. The transcript is spliced from 5 exons.
ACGUUUCUUUUUCUAUUUUCCAUUCCAGUCUUUUUAUUUUCCCUUCGUUUCAUUUUCAAUUGAUCGGUUUCGGCUUCUCAAUAGACAAAUAGGGGGCCGCGCACACACACCAGACAAAAGGGAAACAAAUCGAAGAAGAAAGAUGGCAGGAACGGCGGCAAGAGGGAGGCUCGCAGAGUCUGCUCUGGAAUUUCAGAUUCGAAAACGGGUCUCAUGCCAACGUGAGCAGCGACCAAGGCAAACCAGCGACUGCGACGUCCUUAUCUGAUGAAGCUCUGCGACCACAUCAACAAGCUCCGAUGUCAACCACUCCCCAGAGGCAAAUGCCAAUACUUCCGAUGACACAAAACCUUUAGUUUUUACGGAGGAUGUUUACGUUUGUUAUCCCUUAUAGCUUAACAUCUUGAGACAGGCUACUGUAAGUUUUAGUUCUUUCUACUUCACCAAUCUCUAUUAUAGAUGAAGUAAAUUUAGUGUUCAUGAUAUAUGAUCUACGUUUGUGUUCAUAUUUGUAUUAAUAAUACACAUUUGAGACUUGAUAUAAAAAAAUUCUGGACUGUUACUUUAGUAGAAUUUCUGAUCUUGCCUUUUCUUACUUUAGCAUAAUUUCUGGACUGGCAGCCCCCUAUUUUGUCUUCUAUGAUAGAAUCAAUGAGGUAAUUGGUUAAGGCUUAUCUUGAUUAUGCUGCUUUUGUGAAUUAAUAAAACUUUUAUGGAUAGUGGGCUACUAAAACUGCUUGCUUACAAAACGAAAGUUGACAUUUACUUAUAGUAGAAUGAAUUUGGAAGGCAUGAAACACAUUUUAGCUUUACAUUUGUCCAUGUAAGUUGCUGAUCACCAAGGAAUGAAGAUGGUUUCUGCUUCCAAGCCCGAAUUUUUUCUGCAACCUUGCGGUAAUAAUAUUUUCUAUUUAGUUAGCAUUCUCCGUGUAAUCCGAUUGUAUCAUUAACCAUGUGUGAAGAUCAUUUUCCUGGGAACAAUGAUGCAGAAAUUAAUACAGAUUACAUAUGUUCCAAACAUUGUUUUGAGUUGUAACUUUUACUUUUAUAUAAUAUUUGAAGUUGUUACUCUAAUAAGCUGUCUACAUGUGAUUGCAGAUCUUUUAGAAAGCUAUCUCAUCUUCAAAUGCUUACAAUGAUCAAUUCAGGUACUAUCAAUAUAUUUUACUAACACUGAAAUUCCUUCUUUUGCAGACUUGAAAAGUUGUAUAGUUGACAGUGGACUGAACAGUCAACUCAUCCUGACAUGACCACGGGUCAUGGUUGUCUAUCUGUAGUGUGUAUUUGUCUUUAAAUGAAGAGCCAUUAUCAACUCGGAUAGGGUUUCUGAUAAAUUCUAACCACCUGUCUUCAAUGUUCAGAUGCUUACAAGAAAAACUUCUCUAGGUUUUGGCUUUCUUUGUGCAAUUUUUAUCAUGUGGGUAUUACAAGUAGAGUAUUAGUAAAAUACUUCCUUGAUCAGGGAAUCGCCGGGAUUGUACUGCAUGUGGGUUUGCAUCAUGUUUAGAACUGUCUGACGGUUAUAGCAACCUUCACCAUGCAUUCGGAUAGAGUUUUUCGUGGUUGCUUCUAAUGUGCUGGAUAAAGGUUUGGCUUUCGAUCCAACCCUCAAUAAGAUUGCCAGAAAUGAGGAGGACCUAGAAAUGGAGAAUGAAGAACUAGGAAUCAAGAAAUAAACAUCAUAGGACCUGUUUAUCAAGAUGCACCACCCGACCCAGAGAAAACUAGGCUGGAGGAAGCAGUGACACAUGCACAAGCUGCUUUCAGAGGUUACUUGGUAGGUGUUUAUUCUUUGGAAGGGGGUUUCCUGAUUAAACAGUUAAUUUUCAUGGAGGAACAUACAUGUUCAUGCGAGGAGAAACCAGAAUGCUGCUAAUUGUAAGAAGGGAAUGGUGGUAGGAGGGUCUAACAUAAUGUUAUCGUUGCAGCAAGGUAUUGGAGAAAACAAGUGUACUGUACGUAGAGUAUCAUAACGUAAUUCUGGGAGUAUAUUGGUGGCUUAGAUUAGGAGGGCAGUGUGUGUUUCAGCUGUGAUUGUUAACUUUUAUUUCUGCAAUAUUUUUAGGCUUAAAUACUCUUUUGGUCCUUGAAAUUGUAAAGGGAAUCAAAUCUGAUCCCUGUAAAAAUUUCACAUCAAAUUGGGUCCCUAAAAUUAUUUUUUUAAUCUAAUUAAGUCUUUUUGCUCAAUUUUGACUAGUCAACGUCCAGUGCCAAGCCUAGUCAGCUAAGCAUGGCCACAUGGACUUUUUUCACAUCAAUUUUAGUCCCUUGAAAAAUAUUUUAAUCAAUUCUAGUCCUUGUUCUUUCACCUUCCUCUUCCACCUUCUUCCUCUUCCUCCAUAACUCAAAUCCUUAAAUCAAGAAAUUCAAAACCCUAAAAAAAUUAUAUGUUCAUCAUAUUCACCUUGUUCUUACUUUUGAAUUUAUGGGAUUUGAGUUAUGGAGGAAGAGGAAGAAGGUGGAAGAGGAAGAAGAUGAAGGUGGAAAAAUAAGGACUAAAAUUGAUUAAAAUACUUUUCAAGGGACUAAAACUGAUGUGAAAAAGUCCACGUGGUCAUCUUUAGCUGACUAGGCUUGCCACUAGGCCGUUGACCGGUCAAAAUUGAGCAAAAGGAGUUAAUUAGAUUAAAAAAACAAUUUUAGGGACCCAAUUUGAUGCGAAAAUUUUACAAGUACCAGAUUUGAUUCCCUUUACGGUUUCAAGGACCAAAAGGUUAUUUAAGCCAUAUUUUUAUUUAGUAUCUGUGCUUUUGUUUAAGAAGUAGUAUUUUUGCCUUCCAAAGGGGACCUCCUUGACUUCUAUACUAUUUUCAGUAAGUACUACUUACAGUUCCUUUCAGAA